CCAAGGGCAACAGAACAGGGCCAAAAGUCCUAUUUUAACAGAUUGCAUGUUGUAUGCCCAUGUGAAACCCCAAAAUUGCGACAACAUGAAAUGGAUGGUAUCAACCAUAAACAUCCAUGGCUAACAUGAUUUUAAUUACUUGUUGUAGUUAAACAAGACAUAAGGCUGAAUUUGAACUUCUUUAUUAAAUAUACUGAACCUCCUGUUGACAAAACAUCACAUGAAUACAUUAAGCGGAUUGAUUUCACCAAAACCCAAACAACAUUUACCAAGCAAUGUAAACCUAAACUGCAGAACAAAGCACUACAUGCUCAAGGAAACACACAAGUCAUAUGCAUUUGCAAAUCAGAGCUACUAUUCAUUCAAAUUGAACUUAUAUACUUAAGGCAUCUAACAGUAGAGUACUUUAAUCAUUUGAACUAGAUAUCAAAGUGUAACAGUAGCUCCAUACUUGUCUAGCUGUUAAAACCAACACUUAACAAAAAUACUAUGAGAAGGACUCAUUGGACUGACCAUUACUAGCUCAAAACAACUCAAAUCAAACCUCACAAAGGACAUGCUAUUUAUCUAAAUCAGUCCCUGCUGCAAUACCCAAUCAAUCCACAUACAUAAGCAAGAUUUUGAACAAUCUAAAACACCAAUAGCCUAAAUUAGAGUGUUAGUCUAAACUUACAAACAAAAUUCAUAUCAAACCAUGAUUGAACAAAUAAACAUAUCCAAAGGGACUAGAAUAACAUAGAAUUGCAUGAUCUUAGAACAUGAAACAUUAUUCAAUAAACAUCAUUGUUCUUGAGUUCCAUCUCAGUUACAUGGCUUCAAAUUUUGCACUUCAUACGCUAAGGAGAUCAAAGAAAUACCUAGGAAAAUAAGAGCAAAAGAAAAAAGAGAAUCAGCAGCAGAAGAUGCACUUCAGCAGAUCACCACAACAAUUUGACUUCCUUAAACCAUUUUUGAAACCAUAUCAAAACAAGAGGUUUUUGAGGUGUGAAAAUGACUCUGAUAGUAUACUCCUAGAGUGUAAUUCCAAGCGGUUUUUAUCCAAACUAAUGCAGAGAAUUUUGCAGUCUUUUAGGGUGUGAAUCUGUGUGCUGAAUGAGGCAGAGGCCUUAUUUAUAAGGCAGAAGUCUGUUGUGUGCCUUACAAGGCAGGACAAUAGGAUUAUCCCCAAAAUACCCCUCACAAGGUAUCUUUUUUAACAGAAAAUGGACAUCUGUCAUUUUCUCAUUGGCUUCAGUACUUCAGCUAACCAAAUGGGGCCUGCUGCCCUUGUUCUAGACUAAUCUGAUAUUUUCCCAAAGAGAUAAAUCCUAAAUUACCCUUAUGCAGCCUGCUUAUUACAGUCCCUGCCUAACCCUUUAUGACCCCCUUAAGUUUCCUUACUUACAAUUAGCCCCCUACAGAUCCCUAAGGAUUGAUAAACGUGACCAAUGAAAACAAAUAAUCACCAAUCGGAUAAAAAACAGACUCACAGGCCCAAAACAUUGAACAACUUUAAAGUCUGAAAAUAAUCUUAAGAUGAACAAAGUUCAUAAUGAAACCCAGGCAAACAUGAACUUUAAACCAGAAACAUUUAAGCUAAUUUAAACAUGCCUAAGUAAAUUAACAGAAGAAUCAACUGCAAAACCAACUUCAAUUUAAACUAACAUGAUUUGACUGUUCUAAACACCUAAUUUAAUUGAGACGACUGACUGAAAUCUCAACAAACCAGUAAUUAACACUAACAAAACUGAAACCUAAAGACAAAACAACUUAACUAAGGGAAAGAAGAGAAGAACAGAAAUGACCUAUAGCUACAUUAGGCAUGGAUCCGAAAAAUAAAAGUAACCCUAAACAUGUGGGGAAAAAUCUAAAGAAACGGAAGAGGAAUAAAACUCUCAAAACAGUAAAGGAGCAAAGAUUUAACUGAGAAUAGGAUCAAGGGGAUAAAAUCACACUGGAAUGAUGCAAAGGGCCGGAACUAUCUCGAAAUGACCCAAAAUUGAAGCUAAUUAGUUGUUCUUGCCAAGAACAGCUAACCAGCCUAGAUUUCCGGCUAGUUCGAAGCUUGAAAACAAACCGAGGAUUUCUGACUUGUUGUAGAUUUAGGAUUUGGGGUUUUUCGAAGGGGUAUUUGGGAAAUCUAUGAUAAAAUCAUGAUGAGGGAAGGUCAAGGACGAUGAGAUUUGAUUUUUGAGUAAUUUAGGGAAGUUAGGUUUUUGAUCGGGGUUUUCGAUCUAAAAUUCGAGCCGAUCUAAAGGGAUUCGAGGGUAGCUAGUCGGAUAUUGGUGAAGGGGAGGCCACAAGGAUGUUGUGGUGUGAAUAUGGGGGUGAUUAGAGUGGUGUAAGGCGUCGCCGCCGGCGGGGGGUCUUAGGGCAGCAUCUCUAGGGUUUCUGAGGUUAGAGAUGAUGAUAGGGUAGAGAGAGGAGGUUUU
This 2411-nucleotide long non-coding RNA is filed under the name Nicotiana tabacum (common tobacco). RNAcentral's name for it is "long non-coding RNA (NTAB_LNC005569)". The record is from RNAcentral. Lineage: Eukaryota; Viridiplantae; Streptophyta; Magnoliopsida; Solanales; Solanaceae.